GUUGCGCCGACCCCAGGUGACUGGGAAAAGGGCAGGAGAAUGAUGAUGAUAUGAUUUUCUUUAAGCGACACAAUUAAUUAGAUGAGAAAAAUCGUAUAACUACGAGAUCUUCGAAAUAGAUGACCCACUCAACACUGCUGCUACUAAAUAAAUCGAACGCGCGACCUAGAUGAGUCUAGUUUGGAGCCGCAAGCGUCGUCAUAAGUAACAUAAAGGUCCACGCUAACAGCAAUGCGCGCGUAGGCAUCGGCUAGUCAAACAAGCCACUCUGGAUCGCACCCGGCCCGAAAGUACCCAUUACGAUAGCAGCAUUGCCACGCUGUAUCACGUCUUUUAGAUUGUGCAAUAAAUACAGUUCGAAAAUC
This is a long non-coding RNA of Bombyx mori (domestic silkworm), 365 nucleotides long. RefSeq lists it as uncharacterized. The transcript is spliced from 2 exons. NCBI's taxonomy places the organism in Eukaryota, Metazoa, Arthropoda, Insecta, Lepidoptera, Bombycidae. The record is from RefSeq and is a predicted model, not a curated record.